This 98-nucleotide small nucleolar RNA is filed under the name Tuber melanosporum Mel28. Its description in RNAcentral is "A. fumigatus snoRNA Afu_190". It matches the Rfam family "A. fumigatus snoRNA Afu_190". The record is from Rfam by way of RNAcentral. Lineage: Eukaryota; Fungi; Ascomycota; Pezizomycetes; Pezizales; Tuberaceae.
AAAUGAUGAUACACCGCUGGCACCAGGCCUAGAGACUUGUACUCUUUACCAUGCGGAAAGCUUGCAAACAGCGGGGUUAUCCCUUUGCUAUAUCUGAU